AAAGAAAUUGACGGGGACCCGCACAAGCGGUGGAGCAUGUGGUUUAAUUCGAGGCAACGCGAAGAACCUUACCAGGCCUUGACAUGUCCAGUUUGAUCGUCAGAGAUGACUUUCUUCACCUCGGGUGGCUGGAACACAGGUGCUGCAUGGCUGUCGUCAGCUCGUGUCGUGAGAUGUUGGGUUAAGUCCCGCAACGAGCGCAACCCUCGUCCUUAGUUGCCAUCAGGUAAUGCUGGGAACUCUAAGGAAACUGCCUGUGAUAAGCAGGAGGAAGGUGGGGACGACGUCAAGUCAUCAUGGCCCUUACGGCCUGGGCUACACACGUGCUACAAUGGUAGUGACAAUGGGCAGCAAACUCGCGAGAGUAGGCUAAUCCCCAAAAACUAUCUCAGUUCGGAUUGUACUCUGCAACU
RNAcentral lists this ribosomal RNA (413 nucleotides) under uncultured Alphaproteobacteria bacterium. Its description in RNAcentral is "bacterial SSU rRNA". It matches the Rfam family "Bacterial small subunit ribosomal RNA", at positions 903 to 1312 of the family's 1533-position model. Lineage: Bacteria; Pseudomonadati; Pseudomonadota; Alphaproteobacteria. The record is from RNAcentral.